GCAAGUCGAACGAUGAAACAGAAGCUUGCUUCUGUGAAUUAGUGGCGAAAGGGUGAGUAACGCGUGAACAAUUUGCCCCUAAGCUCGGAAUAGCCUCGGGAAACUGGGAUUAAUACCGAAUGUGGUCUUCUGUCGCAUGACAGAAUCACUAAAGAUUUAUCACUUAGGGAUGAGUUCGCGUUCUAUUAGCUUGUUGGUGGGGUAACGGCCUACCAAGGCGACGAUAGAUAGCUGGUCUGAGAGGAUGACC
RNAcentral lists this ribosomal RNA (250 nucleotides) under uncultured bacterium. RNAcentral describes it as "partial 16S ribosomal RNA". It matches the Rfam family "Bacterial small subunit ribosomal RNA", at positions 57 to 305 of the family's 1533-position model. The record is from RNAcentral.